This 515-nucleotide ribosomal RNA is filed under the name Nematoda environmental sample. RNAcentral describes it as "SSU rRNA". It matches the Rfam family "Eukaryotic small subunit ribosomal RNA", at positions 58 to 570 of the family's 1831-position model. The record is from RNAcentral. Lineage: Eukaryota; Metazoa; Nematoda.
UCUAUGCACAAGCCGAUUAAUGGUGAAGCCGCGAAUGGCUCAUUACAACAGCCACUGUUUACUUGAUCUUGAUUAUCCUACUUGGAUAACUGUGGUAAUUCUAGAGCUAAUACACGCAAACAAGCUCCGACCUUACGGGACGAGCGCAUUUAUUAGACCAAAACCAAUCGGGCUUCGGCCUGAGACGUUGGUGACUCUGAAUAACUGAGCUGAUCGCAUGGUCUUUGUACCGGCGACGCAUCUUUCAAGUGUCUGCCUUAUCAACUUUCGAUGGUAGUUUAUGUGCCUACCAUGGUUGUUACGGGUAACGGAGAAUAAGGGUUCGACUCCGGAGAGGGAGCCUGAGAAACGGCUACCACAUCCAAGGAAGGCAGCAGGCGCGCAAAUUACCCACUCUCGGCACGAGGAGGUAGUGACGAAAAAUAACGAGGCGGUUCUCUAUGAGGCCCGCUAUCGGAAUGGGUACAAUUUAAACCCUUUAACGAGGACCUAUGAGAGGGCAAGUCUGGUGCCAG